Molecule: ribosomal RNA, 406 nt
Filed under: uncultured bacterium
Lineage: Bacteria
Description: partial 16S ribosomal RNA
Rfam family: Bacterial small subunit ribosomal RNA
Source: RNAcentral
AUUGAACGCUGGCGGCAGGCCUAACACAUGCAAGUCGAACGAGUGGCGGACGGGUGAGUAAUGUAUGGGAAAGUGCCUGAUGGAGGGGGAUAACUACUGGAAACGGUAGCUAAUACCGCAUACUAUUGGAGGAGCCCAGAUGGGAUUAGCUAGUUGGUGGGGUAAAGGCUCACCUAGGCGACGAUCCGUAGCUGGUCUGAGAGGAUGACCAGCCACACUGGAACUGAGACACGGUCCAGACUCCUACGGGAGGCAGCAGUGGGGAAUAUUGCCCAAUGGGCGCAAGCCUGAGGCAGCCAUGCCGCGUGUAUGAAGAAGGCCUUCGGGUUGUAAAGUACUUUCGGCAGGGAGGCGUUACCCGCAGAAUAAGCACCGGCUAACUCCGUGCCAGCAGCCGCGGUAAUUC